RNAcentral lists this ribosomal RNA (342 nucleotides) under Crotalaria chrysochlora. Its description in RNAcentral is "5.8S ribosomal RNA". The stretch from base 49 to 204 matches the Rfam family "5.8S ribosomal RNA". Lineage: Eukaryota; Viridiplantae; Streptophyta; Magnoliopsida; Fabales; Fabaceae. The record is from RNAcentral.
UCGGAGACGGUGCUCGUGCGGGCGGUGAUGCGACACGCGUAUCCGAAAGACUCUCGGCAACGGAUAUCUCGGCUCUUGCAUCGAUGAAGAACGUAGCGAAAUGCGAUACUUGGUGUGAAUUGCAGAAUCCCGUGAACCAUCGAGUCUUUGAACGCAAGUUGCGCCCGAAGCCAUUAGGUUGAGGGCACGCCUGCCUGGGUGUCGCCCAUCGUUGCCCCAUUGCUUUGGCCUCGUGCUAGGCACCGAGCUGGGCGAAUGCUGGCUUCCCGGGAGCAACGCCUCACGGUUGGUUGAAAACUGAGUUCGUGGUGGAGGGCGGCGCCGUGACGGAUGGUGGUUGUU